This 406-nucleotide ribosomal RNA is filed under the name uncultured bacterium. Its description in RNAcentral is "bacterial SSU rRNA". It matches the Rfam family "Bacterial small subunit ribosomal RNA", at positions 119 to 518 of the family's 1533-position model. The record is from RNAcentral.
AUGCAACUACCUUUAACAGGGGAAUAACCCGUGAAAAACGGACUAAUACUCCAUAACACAGGGGGUCCCGCAUGGGAAUAUUUGUUAAAGAUUAAUCGGUUGAAGAUGGGCAUGCGUUCCAUUAGCUUGUUGGUGAGGUAACGGCUCACCAAGGCCACGAUGGAUAGGGGAACUGAGAGGUUUAUCCCCCACACUGGAACUGAGACACGGUCCAGACUCCUACGGGAGGCAGCAGUGAGGAAUAUUGGUCAAUGGAGGCAACUCUGAACCAGCCAAGUCGCGUGAAAAGGAUGAAGGUCUUAUGGAUUGUAAACUUCUUUUGCAAGGGAAUAAAGUGGGGGACGUGUCCCUCCUUUCCGCAUGUACCUUGCGAAUAAGGAUCGGCUAACUCCGUGCCAGCAGCCGC